UAAUACCGGAUAACGCAUAUAUGCUGGAAUGCUUUAUGCGUAAAAUGGAUUCGUCUGCCCAAGGAUGGGUCUGCGGCCUAUCAGGUAGUAGUGGGUGUAAUGUACCUACUAGCCUACAACGGGUACGGGUUGUGAGAGCAAGAGCCCGGAGAUGGAUUCUGAGACAUGAAUCCAGGCCCUACGGGGCGCAGCAGGCGCGAAAACUUUACAAUGCGGGAAACCGUGAUAAGGGGACACCGAGUGCCAGCAUCAUAUGCUGGCUGUCCGGAUGUGUAAAAUACAUCUGUUAGCAAGGGCCGGGCAAGACCGGUGCCAGCCGCCGCGGUAACACCGGCGGCCCGAGUGGUGAUCGUGAUUAUUGGGUCUAAAGGGUCCGUAGCCGGUUUGGUCAGUCCUCCGGGAAAUCUGAUGGCUCAACCAUUAGGCUUUCGGGGGAUACUGCCAGGCUUGGAACCGGGAGAGGUAAGAGGUACUACAGGGGUAGGAGUGAAAUCUUGUAAUCCCUGUGAGACCACCUGUGGCGAAGGCGUCUUACCAGAACGGGUUCGACGGUGAGGGACGAAAGCUGGGGGCACGAACCGGAUUAGAUACCCGGGUAGUCCCAGCCGUAAACGAUGCUCGCUAGGUGUCAGGCAUGGCGCGACCGUGUCUGG
RNAcentral lists this ribosomal RNA (653 nucleotides) under uncultured archaeon. RNAcentral's name for it is "bacterial SSU rRNA". It matches the Rfam family "Archaeal small subunit ribosomal RNA", at positions 147 to 798 of the family's 1478-position model. The record is from RNAcentral.